UCCUUCAUCUGCCAGCUACUGCAUUGGAAUGAGCUGGUGAGCAGCCUGUGCUGGGCAGGCUUCACAAAGGAACGUAAAAGACAAGUACCAGGAAAAGACAUGAUUCUCUGGAAGAAACAAGAUGAAAACCAACAUGACCAAAUGAAAAUAAAGAAGGAUUAGACACAACCUACUGGGACACACAGGGCG
This is a long non-coding RNA of Eubalaena glacialis (North Atlantic right whale), 189 nucleotides long. RefSeq lists it as uncharacterized. NCBI's taxonomy places the organism in Eukaryota, Metazoa, Chordata, Mammalia, Artiodactyla, Balaenidae. The transcript has 3 exons. The record is from RefSeq and is a predicted model, not a curated record.